Molecule: transfer RNA, 85 nt
Filed under: Mycoplasma sp. CAG:472
Lineage: Bacteria; Bacillati; Mycoplasmatota; Mollicutes; Mycoplasmatales; Mycoplasmataceae
Rfam family: tRNA
About the family: Transfer RNA (tRNA) molecules are approximately 80 nucleotides in length. Their secondary structure includes four short double-helical elements and three loops (D, anti-codon, and T loops).
Source: Rfam by way of RNAcentral
GCUUGUAUGGCGGAAUUGGUAGACGCGAUAGACUCAAAAUCUAUUUUUCCAAAAGAAAGUAUCGGUUCGACCCCGAUUACAAGCA